This 1144-nucleotide long non-coding RNA is filed under the name Gallus gallus (chicken). RNAcentral describes it as "lncRNA (ENSGALG00010019359.1)". The record is from RNAcentral. Lineage: Eukaryota; Metazoa; Chordata; Aves; Galliformes; Phasianidae.
CCAAGGGGAUGGACUCCUUCACAUCCAUAUUCUGCUCCUCUCUAAAAACCCAACGAGGAUGGCCUUGUAGCAUAUCAGAGACACAGCUGGAGAUGGCUCUUGGUGAGUGAGGGGUGGAGCUGACAGAGUACAAGUGCCCAGCCCAAUUUGACAAACCACUUUGCUCAGAAGCUAAGAGGAAAGUCCCAGCACUCUGCUGACCUUUCUUUUAGAACGGCAGCACCAGCAAAUUUUGCAGAAUUUGAGAAUAUUGAUAAAUUUUAAUACUAAGCUGCUUUUUUUUUUUUUUUUCCCUAAAUAUUCUGAAGAAGUUGCAGUUUGUACAAAGUUGGGACCAAUUAAUAUUUAGUUUGGCCUAAGUAAACUAUGUUCUGACUUCUGAGUAAGUCCUAUCUGCAGGGCUCAUUGUGUGCUUCUGGACAAACACAGUCGUACCCGCUGUGACUCACACUCCCAUGGUCUCUUUCCAGCACCUACGCAUGACUCAGAGACAUCACUCUGAUCACUAUCACUGAGGUCAGCUUCAGAAGAGAACAAAGUCUAUUAUUUGAGGGUUUGUUUUGUCCUCUGUGGAUCCUUAACGUAGCAGGCAGAUAUAUCAGCCCCAACCCUUGUCUCACUCACAGACCUCCAGCUUGCGGUGGGCCUGAAGUGUUGUGCUGUGCAGCACAGCCAGUUCAUCUUAAGCUCUUUGCAGUUGCUUCCUUUAUGCAUUUAUACCUUUUCCUUUCAGAAAAGUUUGCCCCUCUGCCUUUUAGGGGAAGAAAGUUAAUCCAUUCUUAUUCUACAAGAGAUACCAAAGUAGAGGGGGACAAACUUUUCUACCAGAGACUUCUGUCUGCUCUCUCUCUGUUGAGAGCAGCAGGUUCAGGAGGGCUCUGAGGGUGGGCACACCUGGCAGUUCAGAAGCCAGUAGGUCUGCCUAGCUGUACAGAAGCAAGGGGAGCUUCAAGUCUCAUGACAUGGUGCUGGCUGCUAGAAACAGUGUACUUUUCUGGAGACCCUGUAGUUUCAGAGCGGAAGCUGAGGUUUCCCUUUCUGUGCUGGUGUGGAGCUGGGCUCUGUCAGAUGAGUCAUAUUACUGGGUGAAUGACCAGCACGCGGAAAGGAGAAGUUCUGUUUGAUAGAGAUGCAACACAUCGGA